UACGUAGGGUGCAAGCGUUGUUCGGAAUUACUGGGCGUAAAGAGUGUGUAGGCGGUGCUCCAAGUCUGGUGUGAAAUCUCCCGGCUUAACUGGGAGGGUGCAUUAGAAACUGGAAUGCUAGAGGAUGGGAGAGGUAAGCGGAAUUCCUGGUGUAGCGGUGAAAUGCGUAGAUAUCAGGAGGAACACCUGUGGUGUAGACAGCUUACUGGACCAUUUCUGACGCUGAGACACGAAAGCGUGGGUAGCAAGCAGG
Molecule: ribosomal RNA, 253 nt
Filed under: uncultured bacterium
Lineage: Bacteria
Description: partial 16S ribosomal RNA
Rfam family: Bacterial small subunit ribosomal RNA
Source: RNAcentral